RNAcentral lists this ribosomal RNA (496 nucleotides) under uncultured bacterium. RNAcentral describes it as "partial 16S ribosomal RNA". It matches the Rfam family "Bacterial small subunit ribosomal RNA", at positions 28 to 507 of the family's 1533-position model. The record is from RNAcentral.
GAUGAACGCUGGCGGCGUGCCUAAUACAUGCAAGUCGAGCGAACAGACGAGGAGCUUGCUCCUCUGACGUUAGCGGCGGACGGGUGAGUAACACGUGGAUAACCUACCUAUAAGACUGGGAUAACUUCGGGAAACCGGAGCUAAUACCGGAUAAUAUAUUGAACCGCAUGGUUCAAUAGUGAAAGACGGUUUUGCUGUCACUUAUAGAUGGAUCCGCGCCGCAUUAGCUAGUUGGUAAGGUAACGGCUUACCAAGGCAACGAUGCGUAGCCGACCUGAGAGGGUGAUCGGCCACACUGGAACUAGGACGCGGCUCAGACUCCUACGGGAGGCAGCAGUAGGGAAUCUUCCGCAAUGGGCGAAAGCCUGACGGAGCAACGCCGCGUGAGUGAUGAAGGUCUUCGGAUCGUAAACUCUGUUAUUAGGGAAGAACAAAUGUGUAAGUAACUAUGCACGUCUUGACGGUACCUAAUCAGAAAGCCACGGCUAACUACGUG